AGUGAACGCUGGCGGUAGGCCUAACACAUGCAAGUCGAACGGCAGCACAGUAAGAGCUUGCUCUUACGGGUGGCGAGUGGCGGACGGGUGAGGAAUACAUCGGAAUCUACUUUUUCGUGGGGGAUAACGUAGGGAAACUUACGCUAAUACCGCAUACGACCACGGGUGAAAGCAGGGGAUCUUCGGACCUUGCGCGAUUGAAUGAGCCGAUGUCGGAUUAGCUAGUUGGCGGGGUAAAGGCCCACCAAGGCGACGAUCCGUAGCUGGUCUGAGAGGAUGAUCAGCCACACUGGAACUGAGACACGGUCCAGACUCCUACGGGAGGCAGCAGUGGGGAAUAUUGGACAAUGGGCGCAAGCCUGAUCCAGCCAUACCGCGUGGGUGAAGAAGGCCUUCGGGUUGUAAAGCCCUUUUGUUGGGAAAGAAAAGCAGCAGGUUAAUACCCCGCUGUUCUGACGGUACCCAAAGAAUAAGCACCGGCUAACUUCGU
This 490-nucleotide ribosomal RNA is filed under the name uncultured bacterium. Its description in RNAcentral is "partial 16S ribosomal RNA". It matches the Rfam family "Bacterial small subunit ribosomal RNA", at positions 29 to 506 of the family's 1533-position model. The record is from RNAcentral.